CGUGACACACGCGUCGUGGGCUAGUAACAAAAGCUAUCGGUUAUUUUUAUUUUUCCAGAGCUUGCGGAGACACUCUCAGAAGCGGUAAAACACGUGUCACCUUGCGGAGAACAUAAGCUCACGGCCAGCAUGGAGAUUCGUGCCAGCUUCCAGCUUCGAGCAAUCUGACUUUAAUCUUGAAUUGAAAAUGCUUAUAAUACUUUCAUAAGCUCUUAUUUACCACGUUGGACCUCAGCUUGAGCUCGUAUUAAAUAAGAGCUCGUGGAAUAAAAAACUUCUUUUUGAAUGUAUUGUCAAAAGAUUUUAAAAAGAUGAAAAUGCUGCAUGACUUGCAAUUUACAGCUUAAAGGUCAGCUUUGUACAGGACCAAUCAGUAAGACGCUGCCGUUUAGACUGACUACACUAGUUAAUAGUCAGAUAUUCCCUGUGGACUGUGAAAACGGAAGUAGAAUUCUUUACUGUCUAGCGUUCUCAAUGGCGUGCCUGUCCGUCGCCGGUCUCACACUGCCCCCCUGAUAAAUCUGGACAGUUUCUGCAGCUGUGGCAACCAAAGACCCCGAGGCAGGGCUUGUGCACCUGAGCCUGUGUGCAUCUCAGCUAGAUCAGGCCUGGAGCGUAGAGGAGACCCUAUGCAGAGAUGAGGAGAGAGGGACGAAUCGACUUUCUGCUUCAAACUGUCCAUCUUCUGCGUCAGUUGGUACUACAGGCAAUCAGCACAAGCCAUGCAUCACAGAAGGACCUCAGACGAAAGUGUGAGUGCACUGCAGAGGAACAUUCAUGGGAAAAAAACUGUUCUGUAGACAGACAGCUGGAUUUGAAGCACAACCUUCUGAGUGUGAAGCCGCCCCUGAACUGUGAGGCUUCGGAAUGUGCAACAUCGUGGGCUGUUGACUCAUCGUGUAAAUAACAGCAUGCCAAUGCAGUCGACCGGGCACUUGGGAAGGAACAGCCGUCAUGGGAGACUGCCGCCCCAACAGCCAGUGUCUGCGCAUCAAAGAGCGAUGCAGGGAAAUGCACAGGAGACCGACGUCUGCGGUGGGACAUGCGGCGGUAAUCCGUCAUGGAGCAAGAUGAAGAGUGAGGCCCCCUCUUUGGGUGGGACAACCCUCCUGGAUGUUUCGGGGCUGGAUUUCCAAGCCACUGGCAGGACGUGAUGUCGCAGCAAGAUGAAAGGGGUAGCUUAGGUGGGAUGCCCACCCCCAGACACAAAAAAAGCCCCUUCUGACAGGUAUCCUGUGCCAGAGAUCUUAGUCACAGCACACAACUCCUUCUGUGCCCGCUGAUCUGUGCCAUGACCUUUAAGAAACCAUAUGACCUUUCUUGACCUUUUUGAGCAGAUCAUGUGGAAAAGUUAUAUAAAUUAUCUCACCUGAAUAUCAUACCAUCUUUUCUUUUAGAAAUCAUUCUUGCAUACUUGUUAACAUUUAUCUUACAGGUUAUUUCCCCCACAUAUCUAUUAAAAAUAAAUUUUAGAAAUUUCAGCCUUGUCUGAAGAUUAAAAGAUUAAAAAUUCGGACAAACGAAUAGGCACCAAUGUGUAGGAAUACCGCUGUAUAAAUUAGAAAUUAAUGGUUCAUAGACAAAAUUUUCCAGAACCACUUAUCCAAAGCAAUGUUACUAGACCCCUUUCCAGGAAGGACAGGAUCCGAGGAACUAUGGGUAAGUUAAAGGUGAGAGGAAAGCUGUGCAAACAGGAACUGAAUCCACAUCCACUGCUGCUGGCUGAGCCACGAAGACACGUCCAGCUCUUAGGCUGUGAGUUAAGGGUGCAAGAUUUCUACUUAGAAGCAGUUUAGCACCAGCCCUACCUGGGGAAAAAAAAAUCUAUCUUUGCUAAUUCCCAUUUAUGGUGUACAGGUGGUUGAUCUUCCUCCUUUUCACUAAAGAG
Long non-coding RNA from Paramormyrops kingsleyae, 1888 nucleotides. RefSeq lists it as uncharacterized. The record is from RefSeq and is a predicted model, not a curated record. Lineage: Eukaryota; Metazoa; Chordata; Actinopteri; Osteoglossiformes; Mormyridae.